AUACCACAUAUGUGCCUGGUGCCCUUGGAGGUCAGAAGAGGACAUUGGAUCCCUGAAACUGGAGUUACACAUGGCUUUGAUCCACCAAGUGGGCGCUGGGAAUCGAACCCCAAGCAGUCGGUGCUCUUAACCACUGAGCCAUCUCUCCAGCCCCCUUAUUUUUCUUUUAAGAGUCUCACUACAUGGUCCUGUGGCUGUCAGAACUCUCUGUAUAGACCGGGCUGGCUUUGAGCUCACAGAGCUCUGCCCAGCCUCUGCCUCUCAAGCGCUGAGGUCAACGGCAUGCACCCCUGCCUGGCUGUGUUGGAGUUGAUCUGUCUCGUCUGACUGACUCCAGCGUGUCCUGCUAGAAGGGCCAAUCGAAGCUUCCUUCAUCAAGGCUUCAGAAGGGAGAGCACGGACCACACAUCUUUGACGAGGUCCGGGCAGCUCUUUGUCAGCUUCAUCGGAGAGCCCGGCCCGGCCCAUGCGUGUUCUGGGUGUCUCUGUCUUUUCUUCGUUCUCCUGCCGCCCUAAUCACGUCCACCCCCGAAGCCCCGCUGGAUGUGACCAACGAGAACUGUGUCUCACGAUGCGGGAGCUCAGCCACUGCUCCAACAACAAGCCUGCUUGCUGUCAUGCUCCCCGCCAUGCCUCCAGCCACGGACUCUAGCCUUCUGAAAGUCUAAGCCCCUAACGGAUGCUUCUAUAAGUUGCCUUGGCCAUGGUGUCUAGUCACAGCAACAGAGAAAUAACUAAAACAGCAGCGUAGUGGACCCCGCUUGGGGCAGGAAGACUAAGGGAUCUCGCGCGAGGCCUCCGGAUUUUGCUGCGGAGACUGUGAAGGCUGCUCCCUCGUACAACUGGACAGCUCCCACCCAGAGCUCUGGACCCCCACCCACGCACACGGGUUCUCUCUUCAGACGCGUAGGGCGUGUUUAUUUCUUUGCGAAAUGACCAACGCACUAUCCUCCUCCCCAUGUCGGGUAAAGACCGGAGAAGGAAAGAACAUGUCUUUCUCAAGGAUGUCAGGGACCCAAACAAUGCUGGGAAGGGACUCCCGGGGGUGCAGAAGAUGAAGCAGCUCAGAUCUCCUCUGAAGGAUGCAGUCCUGGGCUUCGCGGGAGGCACUUGUUAUAUCUCGUUCAUCUCCAUGACCCCGGACACGACUGGUCUCCUCCAGGACCAGGUAGGGCUCCUCGGAGGUGUAUGGGAUUCUCCAGGACAAAGGUCAGAGUUGUGGGGGUUGUAGAGGGUUAUGUCAGCACCGUUUCUCAGAGACAGGUAUCUCCUCUAGGAAAAGAGCCCAUAGUAUAAGAACCACGUCUCCCUCUUCCAGGCAUUAACCACGAACAACUCUGCAACCAUCCCCUGCUCCCCAAAGCUCUGCCCUCAUGCUCCAACCAUCUCCUCCCCCCCUAGGAUCCCCCUCCAGUCCUCAUCCAUUCCUCUUCACACUCUUUGCUCGGACUCCACCGUUUCCUCAGGAUGGGGAUACACCCUUCAGAUUGUAACCCGGUGUUUCUGCUUGUAACUCUCCCCAUCUCUGUUUCCUCCCUAUCUGCUUCUGGCUUGGAGGCCUCUGCAAUCCACCACCCCCUCCUUUCCCUAAUAACCUCGUUAUGUAUCAGGCACUCACCACGAAAAAGACGACCCCAGCAAGGAGGGCCGUGGCCAUGACAACAGAGGCCAGGGUGAUGAGGAAGAUUUCCCAAGGCUUCAGGGACCCGCGGAGCUUCCCUUCGUUGACUGGAGUUCCAGUUGUAUUGGUGACGUUGGCGGUGGUGUAUAUUCUAGUAGGAACUGCCAGGCUAGAGCUGCUGUGGCUGGCUGUCCAGCCAGACUCGGAGGCUGUGCUGGUCCCGGCUGUGAUUGAGGUUGGUGUAGACAUGGAGGCUGUGCUGGUCCCGGCUGUGUCUGAGGUUGGUGUGGAGUCAGAGGCUGUGCUGGUCCCGGCUGUGUCUGAGGUUGGUGU
Long non-coding RNA from Mesocricetus auratus (golden hamster), 1954 nucleotides. RefSeq lists it as uncharacterized. The record is from RefSeq and is a predicted model, not a curated record. NCBI's taxonomy places the organism in Eukaryota, Metazoa, Chordata, Mammalia, Rodentia, Cricetidae. The transcript has 3 exons.